This 493-nucleotide ribosomal RNA is filed under the name uncultured bacterium. RNAcentral describes it as "partial 16S ribosomal RNA". It matches the Rfam family "Bacterial small subunit ribosomal RNA", at positions 28 to 523 of the family's 1533-position model. The record is from RNAcentral.
GUUGAACGCUGGCGGCAUGCUUUACACAUGCAAGUCGAACGGUAACAGGUUAAGCUGACGAGUGGCGAACGGGUGAGUAAUGCAUCGGAACGUGCCCGGUCGUGGGGGAUAACGCAGCGAAAGCUGCGCUAAUACCGCAUACGAUCUAAGGAUGAAAGCGGGGGACCGUAAGGCCUCGCGCGAUCGGAGCGGCCGAUGUCAGAUUAGGUAGUUGGUGGGGUAAAGGCUCACCAAGCCAACGAUCUGUAGCUGGUCUGAGAGGACGACCAGCCACAGUGGGACUGAGACACGGCCCAGACUCCUGCGGGAGGCAGAAGUGGGGAAUUUUGGACAAUUGGCGAAAGCCUGAUCCAGCAAUGCCGCGUGCAGGAAGAAGGCCUUCGGGUUGUAAACUGCUUUUGUACGGAGCGAAAAGGUCUCCUCUAAUACAGGGGGCUCAUGACGGUACCGUAAGAAUAAGCACCGGCUAACUACGUGCCAGCCGCCGCCGUAA